GACGGGACCCGCACAAGCGUGGAUGAUGUGGAUUAAUUCGAUGCAACGCGAAAACCUUACCUACCUUGACAUGUCCGGAAUCCCGAAGAGAUUUGGGAGUGCUCGCAAGAGAGCCGGAACACAGGUGCUGCAUGGCUGUCGUCAGCUCGUGUCGUGAGAUGUUCGGUUAAGUCCGCUAACGAGCGCAACCCUCGCUGUGUGUUAUAUGUGUCACACGGGACUGCCGGUCUUAAGCCGGAGGAAGGUGGGGAUGAUGUCAAGUCAGCAUGGCCUUUAUAUCCUGGGCUACACACACGCUACAAUGGCCAACACAAUAGGUUGCUAAGCCGCGAGGUGGCGCCAAUCCAUAAAGUUGGUCUCAGUUCAGAUUGUAGGCUGCAACCCGCCUGCAUGAAGAUGGAGUUGCUAGUAACCGCAGGUCAGCUAUACUGCGGUGAAUACGUUCCCGGGGCUU
RNAcentral lists this ribosomal RNA (454 nucleotides) under uncultured Alicycliphilus sp. Its description in RNAcentral is "bacterial SSU rRNA". It matches the Rfam family "Bacterial small subunit ribosomal RNA", at positions 916 to 1381 of the family's 1533-position model. Lineage: Bacteria; Pseudomonadati; Pseudomonadota; Betaproteobacteria; Burkholderiales; Comamonadaceae. The record is from RNAcentral.